This 28-nucleotide small RNA is filed under the name Bombyx mori (domestic silkworm). RNAcentral's name for it is "ovarian small RNA-814". The record is from RNAcentral. Lineage: Eukaryota; Metazoa; Arthropoda; Insecta; Lepidoptera; Bombycidae.
UAAAAUCUAACAUAAGGUGUGACGAUGC